ANUUUAUAUCUUGANCUGCNAGGCUCAUUAAAUCAGUUAUAAUCUACUUGAUUGUAAAAUCUACAUGGAUAACUGUAGUAAUUCUAGAGCUAAUACAUGCAAAAAAUCCUGACUGUUAUANAAAGGAUGUAUUUAUUAGGUACAAAAUCAAUGCUGGCACUUGUGUCAGGUUUAUUGAUGAUUCAUAAUAACUAAACGAAGCGCACGACCUUGAGUUGGCGCUGAUACAAACGAGUUUCUGCCCUAUCAACUUUCGAUGGUAGUAUAGAGGACUACCAUGGUUUCAACGGGNAGGGGAAUA
This 301-nucleotide ribosomal RNA is filed under the name uncultured fungus. Its description in RNAcentral is "bacterial SSU rRNA". It matches the Rfam family "Eukaryotic small subunit ribosomal RNA", at positions 95 to 371 of the family's 1831-position model. The record is from RNAcentral. Lineage: Eukaryota; Fungi.